RNAcentral lists this long non-coding RNA (1675 nucleotides) under Gallus gallus (chicken). RNAcentral describes it as "lncRNA (ENSGALG00010019347.1)". Lineage: Eukaryota; Metazoa; Chordata; Aves; Galliformes; Phasianidae. The record is from RNAcentral.
AUUGAAAGGGAAGCGGAAGGGCAGAGAAAGGGAAGGGGAAGAGAAUAAAAAGGAAGGAGAAGAGAAGAGCUGCGCUGUCACUGCUACCGCCACCUCAAGAGGCCUUCCCAGGCGCUGGCCCAAGGAGGUCCCACAAAAACCACGACGUCAGGAAGAGAAUGCCUGGUAAUCCAACACACAAAGUGCUUUACCAAGACAGAGCCCAUAAGGCCGAGAGAAACUGUGAGGAACGUGGUGGGAAAAGGCGGGCAGGAAAGCACAAGAAGGGACCUCAAGGAUCAUGAAGCUCCAACCUCCAGACCCCGGCAGGGCCACCAACCUCCACAUUUCAUACCAGCCCAGGCUGCCCAGGGCCCCAUCCAGCCUGGCCUUGAACACCUCCAGGGAUGGACGGGGCAUCCACAGCCUCUCUGGGCAGCUGUUCCAACACCUCACCAUUCUCCUGCGUUGUACCAUUGCACCAGUGAAAUGAGUCCCUUGGUCACUCUUGAUGACUUGAGGUGUCCCGUAGGCAGCCAUCAACUUGGUGAUGAGCUACAGCCAGCUCUGUUGGCUGCUGGGUGUGAAGCGGGAGGACCCGAAGCCCGGUCCCUUGCACGCCGAUGUCAUAGGAACGAGAGCUUUCUUUCGGUCUUCCCUCUGGAAAGAGAUCUAAGAGUUCUCCUGUGAUCUCCAUCACGAACUGCUCGAGAUCGUCCUCUUCAGAGACGAGUGCUUCCCCCGCCUCUGCGCAGCUCAGCUGCUGUGUCUCAGCUGCGUCUUGUGAGGAAUAGGAUGGUGCACUUGAGACCUCCGACUGUGCCACGGAGUCCGCCUGGCUUCCUGGAAGCAGUUCCAGGCUUGGGAGGACAAGGAAGAGAACAAUCGGUACGUGACAUCUCUAACUGGAGAAGCGCUUUCAGCAAGAAGUCGUCCUCUGCGAAAACCUGUUUACUGACUGAGCUACUUUUCCCCACGACUUACUCAGCAGAGAUUUUGAGUAAGCAAUUGAAAUCAUUUCAGAGGACCUGUUCCUUUGUUGGAUUAUGCCACGACACAUCUCAAACACCCCCUUCUCCCCCUGAUGUGAAAGAACUUAUGUCUAAUGGAAAAAGGGCACUGAUGAUGAACGAGUUGUGGUCAUCACCUGCUUGGAGGUGUUUCGACUGCAGGAAUGGUCACCAGGCUGUCCCCGGGCAGGGCUGGAACGAUGGCCUAGGAAGAAACAAGACAUUGUGUAUGAAGCACGGGACAAAGAUUCCUAGGUAACUUCUUUUCCCAGAGAAGCUGCGGAUGCCCCGUCCCUGGAGGCAUCCAAGGCCAGGCUGGAUGGGUUUCCCGGCACUUGGAUCUCGUGGCUGGCAACCCUGCUCACAGCAGGACAGGUGGAACACGAGAUGAUCUCUGAGGACUCCUCCUCCCUUCCCUCAGCCUGAGCUGAGCCUGAACCCAAAUACGGAACCACGCUGCUCCCGAAGGAAGCAUUCUCUUGAAGGUUACAAGCGACCUUGGGUGUUUUUCACAGCGCAGCAUCAAUGGACAAAAUCCUUCCCACCACAGAGCCAUCUCCGAAUCCUAGAAUCGCAGACUAUUACAGAGUCAUCACUGCUCUACAUCUGAUCAAAACAGGAAGUUUGCACAAGUAUCCUGUGAGACAUCUGCUGCCUUCAAAGGAAACAGGAGACCUGCAGAACAU